Molecule: long non-coding RNA, 3140 nt
Organism: Solanum pennellii
Lineage: Eukaryota; Viridiplantae; Streptophyta; Magnoliopsida; Solanales; Solanaceae
Exons: 2
Source: RefSeq, a predicted model, not a curated record
UUUAUACCAACAAAGGUUGUGAUGGAGUGGUAAGUACUUCUUCUUCCCUAACCAAUAGGUCUCGAGUUUGAGUCCCCUUUGAUAUGUAGUCUCCUUUGUUAGAGCCAAUCCGAAUUUAGUGGGGCUCCAAUAGGGGUGGCAACUUGAGUUCAUAUUUUAGAAAUCAGCCCCUUUUGUCCAUAUUUAAUAAGAAAAUGGUUAAAUAUGAAUAUCAGCUUAUUUGAAAAUCCCACAUAAAUAUGGUCAAUAUGGGUUAAUAGUGGGUGCCCAUAUCCAACCCAUAACAGAUCAAACUCUUUUAAGAAAAAUCCCUAAUUCAGCUGCGCAGAAAUCUCAAGUCCGAUACAAGUUGCACUUUCAAGACCGCUGGCUCAAAUCUUUCUCCAUUUCUUUGACUCUCUCUGCUGAAAAAAUCCAUUGUUAAGAGAUAUACAUGGAGGCUAAUGAGGCUUCUUGUGAGGUCAGUUCGUCUAUCUCGAGAAAAUGAUAUAAAAGAAAUACUUCAAUUGUUUGGAAUACUUUCUCGAAAUUACUUUGUACUAGUGAUAACGAAAGGUAAAAAGCAUAAUGUCAGGCAUGUAAGGAAAUAUUUGUAUCCGAUGUUAAUACUACAAUUAUGAAACGCCAUAUAGAUAAGCAUUUGGAUAACACACAAGAACACGAAUAUGCAUAAAUUGAUCAAAUAAUUUAUUGUGAGACAGUCUCUGUUGCUAUUCUAAAGCAUAAUUUUCCUUUUAGCUUUGUUGAAAAUCAAGAAAGUAGAGAUAUCCAUCAUACUUAAAUACAUAUGUGAAAACUAUCUCAAGAAAUACGGCUAAGGCUGAUAUAUUGAAGUUAUAUGAUCGGGAGAAAGAACUUUUAAAGUGUGAGCUUGCAAUCAAUCCGAGUAGAAUCUGUCUGACUUCAGACAUGUGGACUUCUGCAGCUUCAAAUGGUUAUAUGUGUUUAACCGCUCAUUAUGUUGAUUUGAAUUUAAAUCUUAAAAAAAGAGUAUUAAUUUUUCGUAUGUUCCUCCUCCAUAUUGUGGUGCAGUUUUAGGUCCUUUGCUUAUUGAGUUUAUUAAGGAAUGGGGCAUUUAAAAGAAGAUUUUCGCUCUUACUUUGCAUAAUGUUAAUUGCAAUAAUGGUGUAGUAGAUCAUUUUAAAAUCAUUUAUGCUGAUGCAUUCUCUAGUUUGUGAUUGAAAGUUCUUUCAUAUUCGUUGCGGUAAUCAUAUGUUGAACUUAAUAGUAAAGGCUGGUUUGGAAAAAGCAAAUGACGCCAUUGAAAAAGUAAGAUAAGGUGUUAAGAACAUUCAAAAUUCGGAAAGAAGAAUAUUAGAGUUUGUGGAAUGCAUUAAGGAUCAUGGGUUGCCAUGUUCAAAGAAGCUUCGUCAAGAUGUAAGUACUCGUUGGAAUUCCACUUACCAAAUGCUUGAUAGCGCUCUUCUCUACCAACAAGCUUAUAUUCAAUAUAAAUUUCUUGAUAUUGAUUUCAAACAUAGUCUUUCCGAGGCGGAAUGGAAAAGGGUAGAGAGUAUUACUAAAUUAUUGAAACCAUUUUAUGAGAUUACUACAUUAUUUUCCAGAGGCAAAUAUCCUACUACAAAUUUGUAUCUUCCAAAUGUAUGGAAAAUUCAAAUGUUGUUAAAGGAAGCAAAAAAUAGUAGUGACCGAGUUAUGAAUGAUAUGGCUACUUUAAUACUAAGAAAGUUUAAGAAAUAUCGGAGGUCGUAUAGUAUCAUUUUGUCAAUUGCCAUUGUCCUUGAUCCUCGAUAUAAAUUGAAGUUUGUGAGGUUUUGUUUCUUCAAGAUGGAUUCUAUGACUGCUGAUGCAAAGGUUGAAAAAGUUAUAGAUCAUUUACAACUGUUAUUCAGAGAAUACUUGAUAACUUCAACAACAAUUUCUCUCUUAAGGGAGAACAUUUAUCAUACAAGCAACAAUGAAAUGAGGUAUGAUAUUGAAGAGUUUGAUGUGUUUGGGAAUUAGUUAGAGUCUGGUAGAGAUAAAAAACAAUUAGAUUUGUAUUUAGAGGAGCCUAAAUUUGAUCGUAAAGAGAAUCCAAAUUUAGAUGUACUUGCAUAUUGGAAGGAGAAUAGAGGAAGGUAUCCAGAGCUUUCGUUGAUGGCACAAGAUAUCUUGAGCAUACGUAUUACCAUGGUAGAUUCAGCAUCUACCUUUAGCAUUGGAGGUAGUAUUAUUUGAAAGUUUCACAGUUCUAUUUUGCCUUCAAAUGCUGAAGCAAAAUUGUGUGCUAAAGAUUGGCUUUGCGGACAAGAAGGUAAGUCAUCAUUUACAUAUUGAGAUUUAUUUUGUUGUGUUAUAAUAGCCUUAAUUUAUAGUAUAAGUUUCCAUUAAUUAAUAUGAAUAACAAAUAUUUUGUUCUUUUGUUACUUUUAUUUUCCUACAUACAUGCAUUGGUAGCUUUUAGAAUAACAAAUUAAUUGUUGGAAUUUGCUACCAAAUGUUUCUGUGAUGGAAAAUUUUGAUUUUUAUUGGUUAUACAAAUAUAUAAAAAGCUUGGCUUUGGAAUUUUUGGGUUUCUCAUUGUCCAUUAGUAUUUUUCAUCUUUGAUGUUCAUACAUCUGCAUUUUGAAUUCAUGGGAAAAAUUGUGCAAAUUUAACAACUUCAAUUUUUUAGCUUGUAUCUGAGAUGUUUCACUUCUUUAUUUUUAGUGAUAAAGUCUUAUGUAUGCUUUAUGUCUAUGUGGGUUUGGGAAUGCCUGGUGCUCAUCGAGUGAUGAUAUUUGGCCAUAGUCCUCGAGCAGUCUUUAUGUAGCUUAAUCAUGGGAAGUUACUGGUGAUUGAUUGAGUUUCGGUCUAUGCUUUAGUCAAUGAAUUUUAUAGUACAAUAUAGCUUGAUAACAUAUAUAAUACUCAUUUUUUGCUCAACUUCAUCUUGCUGCUUCACUGCAACCACAAGCAGUGAAAAAGAUGUAGAUAGUGCAACAAAGAAGAUGAAAUACCUGACAUCCUAAUGCACUGCUGGCUGCUGCAAAUCGACCGUCAAAUAUUAUACUAUUUUGUUUAGUCUCUAGCUUAGCCAUGUGAUUGCACUUAAAUUAUGUUUGUAUUUUUGUACUUUAAUUAUUGUAUUUUGAUGUUUACUUGAUUUCCACAGAAUGAAUAUCGAUCUUUGUCCUCUUAGAAUCAUUUGAGUACUA